UACGGAAGAUGCGAGCGUUAUCCGGAUUUAUUGGGUUUAAAGGGAGCGUAGGCGGGCAGUCAAGCCAGCGGUCAAAUGUCGGUGCCCAACAUCGGCCUGCCGUUGGAACUGGCAGUCUUGAAUGCGGUCAAAGGAGGCGGAAUUCGCCAUGUAGCGGUGAAAUGCUUAGAUAUGGCGAAGAACCCCGAUUGCGAAGGCAGCCUCCUGGUCCGUGAUUGACGCUGAGGCUCGAAAGCGCGGGUAUCGAACAGG
Molecule: ribosomal RNA, 252 nt
Filed under: uncultured bacterium
Lineage: Bacteria
Description: partial 16S ribosomal RNA
Rfam family: Bacterial small subunit ribosomal RNA
Source: RNAcentral